RNAcentral lists this transfer RNA (72 nucleotides) under Camelus bactrianus (Bactrian camel). It matches the Rfam family "tRNA". Rfam says of the family: Transfer RNA (tRNA) molecules are approximately 80 nucleotides in length. RNAcentral also lists the same sequence under 1 other name. Lineage: Eukaryota; Metazoa; Chordata; Mammalia; Artiodactyla; Camelidae. The record is from Rfam by way of RNAcentral.
GGGGGUAGAGGUCAAUGGUAGAACGCAUGCUUGGCGUGCAUGAGGUCCUGGGUUCAAUCCCCAGUGCCUUCC